RNAcentral lists this long non-coding RNA (256 nucleotides) under Elaeis guineensis (African oil palm). RNAcentral's name for it is "long non-coding RNA (EGUI_LNC023377)". The record is from RNAcentral. Lineage: Eukaryota; Viridiplantae; Streptophyta; Magnoliopsida; Arecales; Arecaceae.
AAGUGAGAUGAUCUUCUCAGGGUGCUAACUUCCUUAUAGAGAUCUCCUCUUUGAUGGCUGAAGUAGCUUCUUCUCAAAUCUCACAAACUCUCUAGAGAUGGAGAUGAAUUGAAAGAAGAGGGAAAAGGAAGCAGAGAGCAGGCUCGACUUAGAGAAGAAUUGAUCUCACUUUUUUUUUCAUGAGAUGUUUAUCGUAGACUCCAUGGCAUGCACAUGGGGAGAGAGUCCCUGAGAGUUGAGACUCUAGGGUUUCCUA